GUGCUCGCUUCAGCAGCGCAUAUACUAAAAUUGGAACGAUACAGAGGAGAUUAGCAUGGCCCCUGCGCAAGGAUGACACACAAAUUCGUGAAGCGUUCCAUAUCUUA
This is a small nuclear RNA of Prolemur simus (greater bamboo lemur), 107 nucleotides long. Lineage: Eukaryota; Metazoa; Chordata; Mammalia; Primates; Lemuridae. The record is from Ensembl.